Molecule: ribosomal RNA, 253 nt
Filed under: uncultured bacterium
Lineage: Bacteria
Description: partial 16S ribosomal RNA
Rfam family: Bacterial small subunit ribosomal RNA
Source: RNAcentral
UACGGGGGGAGCAAGCGUUGUUCGGAUUUACUGGGCGUAAAGAGCGUGUAGGCGGCCAGAUAAGUCCGCUGUGAAAACUCGAGGCUCAACUUCGAGCUGUCGGUGGAAACUAUUUGGCUAGAGUCCGGAAGAGGAGAGUGGAAUUCCUGGUGUAGCGGUGAAAUGCGUAGAUAUCGGGAGGAACACCAGUGGCGAAGGCGACUACCUGGCCCAUUCUUGACGCUGAGGCGCGAAAGCUAGGGGAGCGAACGGG